This 460-nucleotide ribosomal RNA is filed under the name uncultured bacterium. RNAcentral's name for it is "partial 16S ribosomal RNA". It matches the Rfam family "Bacterial small subunit ribosomal RNA", at positions 338 to 795 of the family's 1533-position model. The record is from RNAcentral.
CCUACGGGAGGCAGCAGGGAGGAAUAUUGGUCAAUGGACGCAAGUCUGAACCAGCCAUGCCGCGUGCAGGAAGACGGCUCUAUGAGUUGUAAACUGCUUUUGUACGAGGGUAAACGCAGAUACGCGUAUCUUUCUGAAAGUACCGUACGAAUAAGGAUCGGCUAACUCCGUGCCAGCAGCCGCGGUAAUACGGAGGAUUCAAGCGUUAUCCGGAAUUAUUGGGUUUAAAGGGUGCGUAGGCGGUCGGAUAAGUUAGAGGUGAAAUCCCGAGGCUCAACUUCGGAAUUGCCUCUGAUACUGUUCGGCUAGAGCGUAGUUGCGGUAGGCGGAAUGUAUGGUGUAGCGGUGAAAUGCUUAGAGAUCAUACAGAACACCGAUUGCGAAGGCAGCUUACCAAGCUACAUCUGACGUUGAGGCACGAAAGCGUGGGGAGCAAACAGGAUUAGAUACCCCAGUAGUC